AACAAAAACAUGUUCUUAUGAAUAUAAUUUAAGAUUUAACCUGCCCAAUGAUUAAUUAAAUGGCCGCAGUAUUUUGACUGUGCAAAGGUAGCAUAAUCAUUAGUUUUUUAAUUGAAAGCUUGUAUGAAUGGUUGGACGAGAAAAAAUCUGUCUUUUUUUAAUAUAUUGAAUUUAAUUUUUUAGUUAAAAAGCUAAAAUUUUAUUAAAAGACGAGAAGACCCUAUAGAUCUUUAUAUUAGUAAUAAUUUUUUAUUUAUAGAAUUUAAUAUUAUUUUAUUAUUAUUAUUAUUUUAUUGGGGUAAUAGAAAGAUUUAAUUAAUUCUUUUUUAUUUAAAUAUUUUAUAAUAAAAUUUUAAUCCAUUAGUAAUGAAUAAUGAUUAAGUUACCUUAGGGAUAACAGCGUAAUUUUUUUAGAGAGUUCUUAUCAAUAAAAAAGAUUGCGACCUCGAUGUUG
Molecule: ribosomal RNA, 454 nt
Filed under: Laccophilus inornatus
Lineage: Eukaryota; Metazoa; Arthropoda; Insecta; Coleoptera; Dytiscidae
Description: partial 16S ribosomal RNA
Source: RNAcentral